Molecule: ribosomal RNA, 508 nt
Filed under: uncultured bacterium
Lineage: Bacteria
Description: partial 16S ribosomal RNA
Rfam family: Bacterial small subunit ribosomal RNA
Source: RNAcentral
GAUGAACGCUAGCUACAGGCUUAACACAUGCAAGUCGAGGGGAAACGAUAGGGAAAGCUUGCUUUUUCUAGGCGUCGACCGGCGCACGGGUGAGUAACGCGUAUCCAACCUGCCCAUCACUUGGGGAUAACCUUGCGAAAGUAAGACUAAUACCCAAUGACGUCUCUAGAAGACAUCUGAAGGAGAUUAAAGAUUUAUCGGUGAUGGAUGGGGAUGCGUCUGAUUAGCUUGUUGGCGGGGUAACGGCCAACCAAGGCGACGAUCAGUAGGGGUGCUAAUAGCAAGGUCCCCCACGUUGGAACUGAGACACGGUCCAAACUCCUACGGGAGGAAGAAGAGAGGAAUAUUGGUCAAUGGACGAGAGUCUGAACCAGCCAAGUAGCGGGCAGGAAGACGGCCCUAUGGGUUGUAAACUGCUUUUAUAAGGGAAUAAAGUGAGUCUCGUGAGACUUUUUGCAUGUACCUUAUGAAUAAGGACCGGCUAAUUCCGUGCCAGCAGCCGCCGUAA